This 917-nucleotide ribosomal RNA is filed under the name uncultured Proteus sp. RNAcentral's name for it is "bacterial SSU rRNA". It matches the Rfam family "Bacterial small subunit ribosomal RNA", at positions 534 to 1450 of the family's 1533-position model. The record is from RNAcentral. Lineage: Bacteria; Pseudomonadati; Pseudomonadota; Gammaproteobacteria; Enterobacterales; Morganellaceae.
GCAAGCGUUAAUCGGAAUUACUGGGCGUAAAGCGCACGCAGGCGGUCAAUUAAGUCAGAUGUGAAAGCCCCGAGCUUAACUUGGGAAUUGCAUCUGAAACUGGUUGGCUAGAGUCUUGUAGAGGGGGGUAGAAUUCCACGUGUAGCGGUGAAAUGCGUAGAGAUGUGGAGGAAUACCGGUGGCGAAGGCGGCCCCCUGGACAAAGACUGACGCUCAGGUGCGAAAGCGUGGGGAGCAAACAGGAUUAGAUGCCCUGGUAGUCCACGCUGUAAACGAUGUCGAUUUAGAGGUUGUGGUCUUGAACCGUGGCUUCUGGAGCUAACGCGUUAAAUCGACCGCCUGGGGAGUACGGCCGCAAGGUUAAAACUCAAAUGAAUUGACGGGGGCCCGCACAAGCGGUGGAGCAUGUGGUUUAAUUCGAUGCAACGCGAAGAACCUUACCUACUCUUGACAUCCAGAGAAUCCUUUAGAGAUAGAGGAGUGCCUUCGGGAACUCUGAGACAGGUGCUGCAUGGCUGUCGUCAGCUCGUGUUGUGAAAUGUUGGGUUAAGUCCCGCAACGAGCGCAACCCUUAUCCUUUGUUGCCAGCGCGUGAUGGCGGGAACUCAAAGGAGACUGCCGGUGAUAAACCGGAGGAAGGUGGGGAUGACGUCAAGUCAUCAUGGCCCUUACGAGUAGGGCUACACACGUGCUGCAAUGGCAGAUACAAAGAGAAGCGACCUCGCGAGAGCAAGCGGAACCCAUAAAGUCUGUCGUAGUCCGGAUUGGAGUCUGCAACUCGACUCUAUGAAGUCGGAAUCGCUAGUAAUCGUAGAUCAGAAUGCUACGGUGAAUACGUUCCCGGGCCUUGUACACACCGCCCGUCACACCAUGGGAGUGGGUUGCAAAAGAAGUAGGUAGCUUAACCUUCGGGAGGG